RNAcentral lists this ribosomal RNA (1353 nucleotides) under uncultured bacterium. Its description in RNAcentral is "bacterial SSU rRNA". It matches the Rfam family "Bacterial small subunit ribosomal RNA", at positions 28 to 1381 of the family's 1533-position model. The record is from RNAcentral.
AUUGAACGCUGGCGGCAUGCCUUACACAUGCAAGUCGAACGGCAGCACGGAGCUUGCUCUGGUGGCGAGUGGCGAACGGGUGAGUAAUAUAUCGGAACGUACCCUAGAGUGGGGGAUAACGUAGCGAAAGUUACGCUAAUACCGCAUACGAUCUAAGGAUGAAAGUGGGGGAUCGCAAGACCUCAUGCUCGUGGAGCGGCCGAUAUCUGAUUAGCUAGUUGGUAGGGUAAAAGCCUACCAAGGCAUCGAUCAGUAGCUGGUCUGAGAGGACGACCAGCCACACUGGAACUGAGACACGGUCCAGACUCCUACGGGAGGCAGCAGUGGGGAAUUUUGGACAAUGGGCGAAAGCCUGAUCCAGCAAUGCCGCGUGAGUGAAGAAGGCCUUCGGGUUGUAAAGCUCUUUUGUCAGGGAAGAGACGGUGAAGGCUAAUAUCCUUUGCUAAUGACGGUACCUGAAGAAUAAGCACCGGCUAACUACGUGCCAGCAGCCGCGGUAAUACGUAGGGUGCAAGCGUUAAUCGGAAUUACUGGGCGUAAAGCGUGCGCAGGCGGUUUUGUAAGUCUGAUGUGAAAUCCCCGGGCUCAACCUGGGAAUUGCAUUGGAGACUGCAAGGCUAGAAUCUGGCAGAGGGGGGUAGAAUUCCACGUGUAGCAGGUGAAAUGCGUAGAUAUGUGGAGGAACACCGAUGGCGAAGGCAGCCCCCUGGGUCAAGAUUGACGCUCAUGCACGAAAGCGUGGGGAGCAAACAGGAUUAGAUACCCUGGUAGUCCACGCCCUAAACGAUGUCUACUAGUUGUCGGGUCUUAAUUGACUUGGUAACGCAGCUAACGCGUGGAGUAGACCGCCUGGGGAGUACGGUCGCAAGAUUAAAACUCAAAGGAAUUGACGGGGACCCGCACAAGCGGUGGAUGAUGUGGAUUAAUUCGAUGCAACGCGAAAAACCUUACCUACCCUUGACAUGGCUGGAAUCCUCGAGAGAUUGGGGAGUGCUCGAAAGAGAACCAGUACACAGGUGCUGCAUGGCUGUCGUCAGCUCGUGUCGUGAGAUGUUGGGUUAAGUCCCGCAACGAGCGCAACCCUUGUCAUUAGUUGCUACGAAAGGGCACUCUAAUGAGACUGCCGGUGACAAACCGGAGGAAGGUGGGGAUGACGUCAAGUCCUCAUGGCCCUUAUGGGUAGGGCUUCACACGUCAUACAAUGGUACAUACAGAGCGCCGCCAACCCGCGAGGGGGAGCUAAUCGCAGAAAGUGUAUCGUAGUCCGGAUUGUAGUCUGCAACUCGACUGCAUGAAGUUGGAAUCGCUAGUAAUCGCGGAUCAGCAUGUCGCGGUGAAUACGUUCCGGGGUCU